RNAcentral lists this ribosomal RNA (41 nucleotides) under Tricholoma terreum. RNAcentral describes it as "partial 18S ribosomal RNA". The record is from RNAcentral. Lineage: Eukaryota; Fungi; Basidiomycota; Agaricomycetes; Agaricales; Tricholomataceae.
UGGAAAAAGGUUCCCGAAGGGAACCUUGGGAAGGAACAAUA